GGUUCUAUGGUGUAAUGGUUAGCACUCUGGACUUUGAAUCCAGCGAUCCGAGUUCGAGUCUCGGUGGAACCU
This 72-nucleotide transfer RNA is filed under the name Schistocerca americana (American grasshopper). RNAcentral describes it as "tRNA-Gln". It matches the Rfam family "tRNA". From Rfam's summary of the family: Transfer RNA (tRNA) molecules are approximately 80 nucleotides in length. Their secondary structure includes four short double-helical elements and three loops (D, anti-codon, and T loops). Further hydrogen bonds mediate the characteristic L-shaped molecular structure. tRNAs have two regions of fundamental functional importance: the anti-codon, which is responsible for specific mRNA codon recognition, and the 3' end, to which the tRNAs corresponding amino acid is attached (by aminoacyl-tRNA synthetases). tRNAs cope with the degeneracy of the genetic code in two manners: having more than one tRNA (with a specific anti-codon) for a particular amino acid; and 'wobble' base-pairing, i.e. permitting non-standard base-pairing at the 3rd anti-codon position. RNAcentral also lists the same sequence under 1 other name. The record is from RNAcentral. Lineage: Eukaryota; Metazoa; Arthropoda; Insecta; Orthoptera; Acrididae.